GAUGAACGCUGGCGGCGUGCCUAAUACAUGCAAGUCGAGCGAACAGACGAGGAGCUUGCUCCUCUGACGUUAGCGGCGCGCGGGUGAGUAACACGUGUAUACCCUACCUAUCAGACUGGGAUCACUUCGGGAAACCGGAGCUAAUACCGUAUAAUAUAUUGCACCGCAUUGUUCGAUAGUGAAUGACGGUUUUGCUGUCACUUCUAGCUGGAUCCGCGCCGCAUUAGCUAGUUGGUAAGGUCACGGCUUACCAAGGCAACGAUGCGUAGCCGACCUGAGAGGGGGAUAGGCGACAUUGGAGGGGAGACACGGACCAGAGUCCUGCGGGAGGCAGCAGUAGGGAAUCUUACGCAAUGGGCGAAAGCUUGACGGAGCAACGCCGCGUGUGAGAUGAAGGUGUUCGGAUCGGAAAACUGUGCUAUGAGGGAAGAACAAAUGUGGAAGUAACUAUGCACGUCGUGACGGUACCUAAUCAGAAAGCCACGGCUAACUACGUG
Molecule: ribosomal RNA, 497 nt
Filed under: uncultured bacterium
Lineage: Bacteria
Description: partial 16S ribosomal RNA
Rfam family: Bacterial small subunit ribosomal RNA
Source: RNAcentral